RNAcentral lists this ribosomal RNA (468 nucleotides) under uncultured bacterium. Its description in RNAcentral is "partial 16S ribosomal RNA". It matches the Rfam family "Bacterial small subunit ribosomal RNA", at positions 28 to 507 of the family's 1533-position model. The record is from RNAcentral.
GACGAACGCUGGCGGCGUGCUUAACACAUGCAAGUCGAGCGGAAAGGCCCUGCUUUUGUGGGGUGCUCGAGUGGCGAACGGGUGAGUAACACGUGAGUAACCUGCCCUUGACUUUGGGAUAACUUCAGGAAACUGGGGCUAAUACCGGAUAGGAGCUCCUGCUGCAUGGUGGGGGUUGGAAAGUUUCGGCGGUUGGGGAUGGACUCGCGGCUUAUCAGCUUGUUGGUGGGGUAGUGGCUUACCAAGGCUUUGACGGGUAGCCGGCCUGAGAGGGUGACCGGCCACAUUGGGACUGAGGUACGGCCCAACCUGCUACGGGAGACAGCAGUGAAGGAUAUUGCAAAAUGGUCGGAAGCCUGAUGCAGCAGCGCCGCGUGCGGGAUGACGGCCUGCGGUUUGUAAACCGCUUUCGCCUGUGACGAAGCGUGAGUGACGGUAAUGGGUAUAGAAGCACCGGCUAACUACAUG